UAUACCCACUUAGAUAGGACCCUCUUGUCUAGGCAUAAAAACUUCUGGCAAAUUUGUGCUCUGAAUUCCCUAACCUAUAUCUGGGUCACGUUGAUUCUUCCCACUGAUCCUGCCCUUAGCAACAAUGUUUUGUUGACUAUCUCCCUAGGCUUCCUGUCUGUUGUUAGGUUCCAUGGAAACAUGUAUGUUGAGAAUGAAACAGUGUGCCAAGUAGAUAUGUGAUCAUGAGGGUAUAAAAUACAGCCAAAGUGGAGCAGUUUAUCCUGUGAAAACUGUGCUGUGGAUUGAAUGCGGAAAGCUGAGUCCCAUCCAUCAUUUCACUGACAGUGUCCCACCUCCAAGACCCUAUUCCCUGUGGGAGAUUGGCCCACCCCACAGCAUUGAGACAGUAAAGAAUGCUUCAUUCCUGCUGAACUUUCCAGAGGAUUCCAGGUGGGCAGAUGUAAUAACGCAUGUUGGCAGUUGGCCAGACCACAAGGACUAAUAGCCAAGCCCGUGUGCUGAAGGAUGCUUCGUGACCUCAAAUAUCUAGCAUCAUGGCUGUAUGUCUUUUCUGAAAAACCCACCCCAAACCAGUUAACAAAUUGGAGGCUCUGACUUAAACCUUUACUCAAUGGGCUUCACAGAGUUUGAGUAGGUUUAAUUGGGUUAAAAAUAAAGGCAGAAGCCAGAGAAAACCAUUUGUUUCCAAAGACAUCAGCCAAGCCUGAGAAGAACCCUUUCUGCUGCCUGGUUACAGAUAGAAGAGACAGGUUUUGACAGCCUGUUUGUUUAUCCUGGUGUCAGGAAUGGGAUUUCUGCCAAGAAAAGCAAAAGAACAUUGACAUCCUCUAAAUGUGAAAUAUAUAUGCAUAUAUUAUAUCUAUGUAUGUAUUAUAGUUUACAUAGAUACAUUAAAUUUUGUUUUGUUCAGUCAUUUCAGCCAUGCUGUUACUCUUUGUUGAUCCCAUUUGGAGUUUUCUUGACAAAGAUGUAGAAUGGUUUGCCAUUUCCUUCUCUAGUUCAUUUUACAGAUGAGAAAAAUGAGGGGAAAUAGGGUUAAGUGACUUACCCAGAAUCACAUAGCUAGUGUAAGACUGGAUUUGAACUCAGAUCUUCUUGACUCUAGUCCCAGCCUCUAUCCACUAUACCACCUAGUUUUUAUAAAUUACAUAUAUUUGUAUAUAAAUUUAAAACAUUU
Molecule: long non-coding RNA, 1180 nt
Filed under: Monodelphis domestica (gray short-tailed opossum)
Lineage: Eukaryota; Metazoa; Chordata; Mammalia; Didelphimorphia; Didelphidae
Description: lncRNA (ENSMODG00000037744.1)
Source: RNAcentral